CGAACGGUAACAGGAAGCAGCUUGCUGCUUYGCUGACGAGUGGCGGACGGGUGAGUAAUGUCUGGSAAACUGCCUGAUGGAGGGGGAUAACUACUGGAAACGGUAKCUAAUACCGCAUAACGUCGCARGACCAAAGAGGGGGACCUUCGGGCCUCUUGCCAUCMSAUGUGCCCRGAUGGGAUUAGCUAGUASGUGGGGUAACGGCUCACCUASGCKACSAUCCCUAGCUGGUCUGAGAGGAUGACCAGCCACWCUGSAACUGAKACACGGUCCAGACUCCUACRGGAGGCAGCAGUGGGGAAUAUUGCACAAUGGGCGCAAGCCUGAUGCAKCCRUGCCGCGUGUAUGAAGAAGGCCUUCGGGUUGUAAAGUACUUUCRGCGGGRAGGAAGGCGAUGUGGUUAAUAACCGCGUCGAUUGACGUUACCCGCAGAAGAAGCACCGGCUAACUCCGUGCCASCAGCCGCGGUAAUACRGAGGGUGCAAGCGUUAAUCSGAAUUACUGGGCGUAAAGCGCACGCWSGCGGUCUGUCAAGUCGUGAUGUGAAAUCGCCGGGCUCAACCUGGGAACUGCAUCCGAAACUGGCAGGCUUGAGUCUCGUAGASRGGGGUAGAAUU
This 617-nucleotide ribosomal RNA is filed under the name Kosakonia cowanii. RNAcentral's name for it is "partial 16S ribosomal RNA". The record is from RNAcentral. Lineage: Bacteria; Pseudomonadati; Pseudomonadota; Gammaproteobacteria; Enterobacterales; Enterobacteriaceae.